Molecule: non-coding RNA, 642 nt
Organism: Lonchura striata (white-rumped munia)
Lineage: Eukaryota; Metazoa; Chordata; Aves; Passeriformes; Estrildidae
Source: RefSeq, a predicted model, not a curated record
UAGCCAUGCAGUGCUGAGCCUCGGGCCUCUGAGCUCAGUGGUGGCAUGCAUACAGCCGAGUCAGAAAAGAGCAUCAGCUUCAUCUGCUCCAUCCCUUGUGUUCCCAGGGACAGUGUGGACAUAGCCUGAAUCCAAAUAAAAGCAUGCUGCUGAGGUUUUGGGAAUGAUAACAUAUCACUUCUCCAUCUGAAGAAAUUUUUAGCAGACCACCUCUCAACCACAACCUGGUGUGUAAUACCACAGAAUAAAUCUACUUAAUGAAAACAUGCUGAGCUGGAGACAGUCCUCAGAGAGCAGAAAAGGCAUGGUUCAGGCAGGUUGUAUCCUGUGGAUUCCCACUGUCUGUGAUUUGACAAGCUGUGGCUCUUGUUGAAGAGACCUCUUCAAAGGAAGCAGCAAAUUUCUCAUCUUCAGGUGCAGAAGCAACACAAAACCAAUUCUAGAACAAGAAGAAAAAAAGUCAGAUACAGAAAUGAGGUCACUGAGCUGGUUCCAGCAUCUCUUUACAUCUCAGCAAUGUGGCCACAGAAGAUUAAGCACCAAAUCAUACUGCAUAAUUCUUUACCAGUGUCACCUUAUCAUUCUAUUAAUUCAUAGUAUGAGAGAUAAUUUUAAACGAAUUUCUGUUUCAGCUUUUGUGCA